GCGUCACCCCGGACAAGUCGC
Molecule: unclassified non-coding RNA, 21 nt
Filed under: synthetic construct
Source: RNAcentral